AUCCCCUGGCAAUGGGCAGAGACACCUCACUCACUGGUGGCGGUGUUCUUAUAUCAAUCAGGGGCAGAACAGGCUUUGUUCAUCUUAGCUUGAUUCCUGGGUUGGCAGCCAAAGUAGUUUCAUGGGUAGGGCACAUAA
Non-coding RNA from Cavia porcellus (domestic guinea pig), 138 nucleotides. The record is from Rfam. NCBI's taxonomy places the organism in Eukaryota, Metazoa, Chordata, Mammalia, Rodentia, Caviidae.